RNAcentral lists this transfer RNA (67 nucleotides) under Pholoe pallida. RNAcentral's name for it is "tRNA-Ile". The record is from RNAcentral. Lineage: Eukaryota; Metazoa; Annelida; Polychaeta; Phyllodocida; Pholoidae.
GGUAAGACGCCGGAUGAACGGACAACAUUGAUGGCGUUGAACAUGUGAUAUUAUAUCUCUCUUACCU